UACGUAGGGGGCAAGCGUUGUCCGGAUUUAUUGGGCGUAAAGAGCGUGUAGGCGGCUUGGUAGGUCUCGCGUCAAAACCUGAGGCUCAACCUCAGUUCGCGUGGGAAACCACCCUAGCUAGAGUCCGGAAGAGGAGAACGGAAUUCCCAGUGUAGCGGUGAAAUGCGCAGAUAUUGGGAAGAACACCAGUGGCGAAGGCGGUUCUCUGGGACGGUACUGACGCUGAGACGCGAAAGCGUGGGGAGCGAACAGG
This 253-nucleotide ribosomal RNA is filed under the name uncultured bacterium. RNAcentral describes it as "partial 16S ribosomal RNA". It matches the Rfam family "Bacterial small subunit ribosomal RNA", at positions 524 to 776 of the family's 1533-position model. The record is from RNAcentral.